RNAcentral lists this ribosomal RNA (297 nucleotides) under uncultured bacterium. RNAcentral's name for it is "partial 16S ribosomal RNA". It matches the Rfam family "Bacterial small subunit ribosomal RNA", at positions 28 to 334 of the family's 1533-position model. The record is from RNAcentral.
GAUGAACGCUGACAGAAUGCUUAACACAUGCAAGUCGACUCGAGUCUUCGGACUUGGGUGGCGCACGGGUGAGUAACGCGUAAAGAACUUGCCUCUUAGACCGGGACAACAUUUGGAAACGGAUGCUAAUACCGGAUAUUAUGGUUUCUUCGCAUGGGGGAAUCAUGAAAGCUACAUGCGCUAAGAGAGAGCUUUGCGUCCCAUUAGCUCGUUGGUGAGGUAACGGCCCACCAAGGCAAUGAUGGGUAGCCGGCCUGAGAGGGUGAACGGCCACAUUGGGACUGAGACACGGCCCAA